GUCUUCGUGGCUCAGUUGGUUAGAGCGUUGGUCUCAUAUCAUUCAGUUGAUUGACUCGAUUAAACAAUAUUGGGACAUCCAAAGGUCGUGAGUUCGAGCCUCACCGAGGACA
Microdochium bolleyi is the source of this 112-nucleotide transfer RNA. It matches the Rfam family "tRNA". Rfam says of the family: Transfer RNA (tRNA) molecules are approximately 80 nucleotides in length. Their secondary structure includes four short double-helical elements and three loops (D, anti-codon, and T loops). Further hydrogen bonds mediate the characteristic L-shaped molecular structure. tRNAs have two regions of fundamental functional importance: the anti-codon, which is responsible for specific mRNA codon recognition, and the 3' end, to which the tRNAs corresponding amino acid is attached (by aminoacyl-tRNA synthetases). tRNAs cope with the degeneracy of the genetic code in two manners: having more than one tRNA (with a specific anti-codon) for a particular amino acid; and 'wobble' base-pairing, i.e. permitting non-standard base-pairing at the 3rd anti-codon position. NCBI's taxonomy places the organism in Eukaryota, Fungi, Ascomycota, Sordariomycetes, Xylariales, Microdochiaceae. The record is from Rfam.